GGGUUGGCCUUGGUUGGGGGUGUGGGUAGGGUUCGUGCCCCGUAUGGUUCAGGGCCUAUAAAAGGUGGGUUGCGCCUCUCUCUAUCAGCUAUAGCUUUUAGUGCAAUUGGUUAGCGGUUCACUCUUAAGGUUUGAGGUUUGGUAUCAGAACGGAGGUCACGGGUUCGAAUCCCGCUUACGCCAUGCGCAAGUUCGAGGACGAACCUUUUCCCAAAGAAAGGGGGAAUGAUGGCAGCCAAAGGGUGGCCACCUGUCUCGGGUUGGCCUUGGUUGGGGGUGUGGGUCGGGUUAAUGCCCCGUAUGGUUCAGGGCCUAUAAAGGGUGGGUUGCGCCUCUCUCUAUCAGCUAUAGCUUUUAGUGCAGUUGGUUAGCGGUUCACUCUUAAGGUUUGGUAUCAGAGCGAAGGUCAUGGGUUCGAAUCCCGCUUACACUAUGCGCAGGUUCGAGGAUGAACCUUUCCCAAAGAAUGGGGGAAUGAUGGCGCCCAACGGGUGUACUCCUAUCGCAGGUCGGCCUUAGUUGGAGGUGCGGGUCCGGUUCGUGCCCCAUACGGUUCAGGGGGGUCGGGUUAAUGCCCCGUAUGGUUCAGGGCCUAUAAAGGGUGGGUUGCGCCUCUCUCUAUCAGCUAUAGCUUUUAGUGCAGUUGGUUAGCGGUUCACUCUUAAGGUUUGGUAUCAGAGCUCAAG
RNAcentral lists this long non-coding RNA (686 nucleotides) under Capsicum annuum. RNAcentral describes it as "long non-coding RNA (CANN_LNC013305)". Lineage: Eukaryota; Viridiplantae; Streptophyta; Magnoliopsida; Solanales; Solanaceae. The record is from RNAcentral.